AGGAAAGUGAGACAUCACCGAUUACUUCCCUAGUAUGCUGUGUUUUUGCUGAUCUGGCAUUUUUCAUUCAAGGAAGAAGAGAGAUUUAAUAUCCAAACAAAUCCUGGCAUUCCUGCCUCAGUUUUUCCUUACUGCUGCUGAGUAGGAGAGAAAGCACCUGUUGAGACCACAACACAAGAUGAUUUCACACAGUUGCAGAGAAACUUCUGCUGGAGAAUGAACUGAAAAGAAAAAUAGGACUCUUUUGUCUGGAAAGAAGUUUGGCCAGGACGUGACUGAAGUUUAUGAAGUCAUGAAGGACGAGAGCAAGGCAAACCUAGAAGUGUUGUUAAUUAAAUUCUACCAAAACUGGAA
Molecule: long non-coding RNA, 354 nt
Organism: Ornithorhynchus anatinus (platypus)
Lineage: Eukaryota; Metazoa; Chordata; Mammalia; Monotremata; Ornithorhynchidae
Exons: 3
Source: RefSeq, a predicted model, not a curated record